CUACGGGGUGCACCAGUGAGGAAUAUUGCACAAUGGGGGGAACCCUGAUGCAGCAACGCCGCGUGGAGGAUGACGCAUUUCGGUGUGUAAACUCCUUUUAUAUGUCAAGAAAAUGACGGUAGCAUAUGAAUAAGCACCGGCUAACUCCGUGCCAGCAGCCGCGGUAAUACGGAGGGUGCAAGCGUUACUCGGAAUCACUGGGCGUAAAGGACGCGUAGGCGGGUUGGAAAGUCAGGUGUGAAAUCCUACAGCUUAACUGUAGAACUGCACUUGAAACUUCUAAUCUAGAGUAUGGGAGGGGAGGGGGAAUUAGGGGAGUAGGGGUAAAAUCCGGAGAAAUCACUAGGAAUACCUAAGGCGAAGGCGAUCUCCUGGAACAUUACUGACGCUAAGGCGUGAAAGCGUGGGGAGCAAUCAGGAUUAGAUACCCUCGUAGUC
Molecule: ribosomal RNA, 438 nt
Filed under: uncultured bacterium
Lineage: Bacteria
Description: partial 16S ribosomal RNA
Rfam family: Bacterial small subunit ribosomal RNA
Source: RNAcentral